CAGUAGCCGCGGUAAUACGAAGGGUGCAAGCGUUACUCGGAAUUACUGGGCGUAAAGCGUGCGUAGGUGGUGGGUUAAGUCCGUUGUGAAAGCCCUGGGCUCAACCUGGGAAUUGCAGUGGAUACUGGGUCACUAGAGUGUGGUAGAGGAUAGUGGAAUUUCCGGUGUAGCAGUGAAAUGCGUAGAGAUCGGAAGGAACAUCUGUGGCGAAGGCGACUAUCUGGGCCAACACUGACACUGAGGCACGAAAGCGUGGGGAGCAAACAGGAUUAGAUACCCCGGUAGUCCCUGUCUCUUAUAC
Molecule: ribosomal RNA, 301 nt
Filed under: uncultured bacterium
Lineage: Bacteria
Description: partial 16S ribosomal RNA
Rfam family: Bacterial small subunit ribosomal RNA
Source: RNAcentral